CACGUAGGGGGCGAGCGUUGUCCGGAUUUAUUGGGCGUAAAGAGCUCGUAGGUGGCUCGGUAAGUCGGGUGUGAAAUUUCGAGGCUCAACCUCGAGACGCCACCUGAUACUGCUGUGGCUAGAGUCCGGUAGGGGAGCGUGGAAUUCCAGGUGUAGCGGUGAAAUGCGUAGAUAUCAGGAGGAACACCGAUGGCGAAGGCAGGUCACUGGGCCGCAACUGACGCUGAGGAGCGAAAGCUAGGGGAGCGAAUGGG
Molecule: ribosomal RNA, 254 nt
Filed under: uncultured bacterium
Lineage: Bacteria
Description: partial 16S ribosomal RNA
Rfam family: Bacterial small subunit ribosomal RNA
Source: RNAcentral